ACCUGGAAAGAAACAGAUAUGAAAACAUCCCUGGGAUUAGUUUAUAAAAUGGAUGAGAAAUUUAUAACCGCUUCCAAAAUGCUGACAGGGUAAUGAAUAAUAUAACAGGAGGAAUUAUUCAGUGGCGUUUACCCACGGCCACGAUGAAGCUAGGUACAGCUCCCAGGGUGAGGUGCACAUUUGCUUAUAAAUAAAACUCUUGUGAUUACGAUGUUAAAUAAGUUCUCUCCUUUGAGCUCUUGUCGGCCAACGUCCGGCGGCGGAUAAGUAACAAGCUCACAGCGGGCCGGCGGUGCUGACAGCCUGCUGCUGCCAAUGUCAUCUACUCGCCCUGUCAUCCCCCGUCCAGUCAAUUUGCUGUUCUCAUCUGGGCGCUCGAAGCGACCGGCGUCACGGCCGCACGCGACACUACGGACAGCAAGGAGCGGCCACACAGGACCCCUUGGGCGGGGCUGACCUUCUACCAGGACGUAGCGCCGGCCGCGUGGCUAACAGUCACACUGACCGGUGGGGAUUUACGCUUAGGUUUUAUUUUUAGUGAACUCGCCCAGACCGAGACAAAUUGACCGCGGCGUUGAAACGCUGGCAGGGAAAGGUCGAUGGCUCUGCCGCCCGUAUAUCACAGCAACGCGUUGUGCUGUGAUUUGAUGGGGGGCCGAUUCAUCCCAGACACUGUGGUGGUGCCAACGCUGAUUACAAAUGAACUGGACCACAGAAGGUUUCAAUCAGUACCAGGAGCCAGAUGUGGGCAUCAGGACACUGGCCAAAGAGGAGGAGAGAGUGGAGGAGGAGGCGGAGGAUUGGACAGUGGUAAGACACGCCAGGAACGCCAAAACCAAGACGAGUUAGAACGAAGGACCUGCCCGCGGGGCUGCAGGACGCAGAAAGCCUCGGUCAACCUGCCCAGAGACUGGAACGGAUCUGUAGGACACCAUGAAGUUAAAAUGGGUUAUUUUCACAGUUGUAUUAUUCUCCCAUUUAACUAAAUGUCAUGUAGUCUAAACAGUUACGUUUUUUUACAGUUAUUUUACAUCCAAAUCGAAUAAAGGCAACUUCGCUCUCCCGCUGUGUGUGUGUGUGUGUGUGUGUGUGUGUGUGUGUGUGUGUGUGUGUGUGUGUGUGUGUGUGUGUGUGUGUGUGUGUGUGUGUGUGUGUGUGUGUGUGUGUGUGUCCUGACCGCUUGUCGAAACUGGAAGGCUUACAUUUUUUACCAAUAACAUGUUCUCACCAAAGGCUGUUUCCACUCCCACGCGUCUGAAGCCUGCGACAGGGGGCUAACAACCACAGCUGGCCAGCGACCCACCUUUAGUCACAUCUGCAGAAUCCACCAUUCCCUUCUGAGGGAUCCCCUCACAUUCCCACAUGUAUGUCUUGCUUCACGCUAAUGACCUGUUUUACUUGGAAAUGUCUCAUAUGGCGUGGUGAAAUAGGUGCUGAAUGCAAUUUCCGAUUGUGUUUGUAAGAAGAAAUUCAGUUUCUGUCCGUAGGACUUGAGACGGUGAGGAAUGGAAUCAACACAUUUCCUAAGACGCUACCCCUCUUUUUCACGGACUUUCCCGUCUCGUAGAGAAAAAACGUUUGAAUCCAGGGCAGACAUGACUCAGGUCCUAAUAGAUGGGGUGUGGUGGCCCUUCCCUGCAGUUGCGGCUCUUGACAUGUUCUUGGCUUCGAUUGCACUCUUUGUGGGGGAAACCUCAACAAACAGCACUGUUGGAAUAUCCAGAUGUUUCGUGGCGGUAGGGAAUGGAACGGUAAUUUAUAAUGUAUUUUAAGAAACAUAAAAACGUAUCACGUUACGUUAUAUAUCAUAAAACAUGUAUCUCUAUACCAGUUUGAUGCCUGUUUCAAAUUUGCUACCGUGGAUACUGUGGAAAAACGAAGAUAUAAAUAUGAACACAUUUGAAUGCUUUAUCUAAUGUAAUUUUAUACAAGGUUUCAUGUUGACUUUACAGGAUGCUCCUUUUAGUCUACAUAAAGUCUUAUUCAUAUAAACAUAUAGGUCCUCUCUAUAGACCAAACCUAAUGGUUUCUGCUUUCUUGAGGUCACUUAGGUUGUUGGCUGGGCUUGUACAGGAAUCAGUCCAGGACCCCUGGCCCCCACCCCGAUAUAUGGAAGUUAAUAGUGACUGAUAGUCUGUGCUAUGCUUCAACCUUCUUCAGGGAAAACGGUGGUCCAUUGAGAGACCCAUGCGCUGCCCAUUAGCUGCACAUGAAGUUCAUUCUUCUUCAGAAUCAAUUGUGGACCAAACGGUCGGGGAAUGAACAAUGGG
This 2270-nucleotide long non-coding RNA is filed under the name Gadus morhua (Atlantic cod). RNAcentral describes it as "lncRNA (ENSGMOG00000023996.1)". The record is from RNAcentral. Lineage: Eukaryota; Metazoa; Chordata; Actinopteri; Gadiformes; Gadidae.